This is a long non-coding RNA of Salvator merianae (Argentine black and white tegu), 1558 nucleotides long. The record is from Ensembl. NCBI's taxonomy places the organism in Eukaryota, Metazoa, Chordata, Lepidosauria, Squamata, Teiidae.
GUUUAGGCUGCUCAAAAACAGCCAUUGCUUUCAAAGCAGCAGCUACACUGGAUUCUCUGCUGAUCCGCCAUGAACUUCCUUGCGGUGACAUUGGUUUUGGCCUUGGCUGUUUUUACAGAAUCCCAAGCUUUUUCCAUCCGUGAUGUAUCAGCUUCCAUGCUGCCUCCCUUAAACAAGGAGUUGCAAAAAUAUGCAAGAAGUUUCAGCAAGAUAUUAGAAGAAUAUUCACGUGUAGUCAGAAGAUCAAAACUUGGACAAGAGCUGAUAUAUCAGAUCAACGGCGUCAUUUCGAAUCUCAGCAGACAGUUGCAUCUUCUGCAGAAAGAGGCUCCUGCUGAGGUUACGCAGGCCUACGAGCGAGUGGACCGGGUGUUGUGGGACGUGGUGGAGAAACUUUUCACGGCCCUCUAUGAAAUGAGGAGACAGGCAAAGCCUGCCACUGAGGGCCUCUAUCAGUCCCUGCAGCCCUACGCCAGUCUGGUCUUAGAGUGGGCAGGUCCAUCUGCAGAGAUGCUCCAGGCCACUAUCUUUGCCAGAGCAGAGGACCUGAGCCCCAAACUGAAGAAUGAGCUGAAGCGGCACUUGGAAGAGCUAAGACCUCAACUUGAUCCCUACGCCAAGGUGUUUCGGAGCGGGGUGCAAGAAAUCCAAGGGAGCCUGGAGCCCUGUGUGGUCCGGGCUCAGCAGAUGUUCAGACAGGGAAUGGAACAGGCCAAACCAUAUCUGGCCCCAUUCCUUGAAGUACUGGAACAAAAUGAGUGAGAUUUCAAGAAGUGAGUCCCCAAAAAACCCUCAUGGUACCCAGACAGGAAAACGAGACUUUGCCCCAUGGCUAAGCUGAAAUCAAUGUCAUAUGAUAUAUACUGUCCAAGAUCCAUUUCCUCUGCCCCCUCUGUUUUGGGCUGUGAUUUUCAUGGCUCUUUGAAAUGCCUAUAGCCUGAUGGCAGAGUGUGUGCUCUGCAGGAUAAGGUCCCAUUUCAGCCUUCGGUACCCGCAUGGAAGAAGACAGUGGCAACGGUAUUUUGGACAUGUCUAAAUCAAUCUAAAUCAAUUGCCCAGAAGUAAUUUGUGGGCCACUGUGUGAGAUGGAAUGCUUGAUUAGAAGGACCAUGGCCUGAUCCAGCAGGGCUUCUCUUAUAUAGACAAAUUCAUGGAUGGCAGGUACAUCAAUGNCUACUAGAAUGGAUGCCUAGGUACUGCCUCCAGGUUGGAGAGACAGGCAGGAUGCUUCUAAAGGCCCUUUGCAGGGAGUUGAGAGCAGGUAAAAGCUUUGCCUUCAUCUUCCACUUGAGAUGCCCAGAAGCAAUUGGUGGGCCACUGGGUGAGACAGGAUGCUGGAUUAGAUGGGCUGUGGCAUAGUCCAGCAGGGGUCUUCUUUGAUUCUUUACCCUGGCCUUUGGCUGAGGGAACCACAACCCCUCCCAAUACAGGCACCAUCACCCUUUUAGCUAAUCUAUCUUACCUGUAUUUAUAGAGAUUUUAUUGUAACCCUACCUCUGAGACCUUCUGGUAUAGGACAGGAUAGAAAGACAAGUGAAUAAACAAACACCACUUUCCA